Molecule: long non-coding RNA, 179 nt
Organism: Lemur catta (Ring-tailed lemur)
Lineage: Eukaryota; Metazoa; Chordata; Mammalia; Primates; Lemuridae
Exons: 3
Source: RefSeq, a predicted model, not a curated record
GUUCAAGAGGGAAAAAACCCAGCUAUUCACAGUGGUGUAUUCUGGGUCCCUUCACCUCCAGAGAACACUGCUCUCAGGAAGGAAUACCUGAAUACCUGAAAAGCACUUGCUUUUUCUGUUCCAGAAGGAAAGAAAGCUAAUGGGAGAAAUAGUAUUUCCACUGCAUGAUGUGGAUGAGA